Molecule: long non-coding RNA, 1506 nt
Organism: Motacilla alba alba
Lineage: Eukaryota; Metazoa; Chordata; Aves; Passeriformes; Motacillidae
Exons: 3
Source: RefSeq, a predicted model, not a curated record
GUUUACAAGCAGCCAGCCCACAUGGGUCCAAUUCGGCUUUGUUAAUGUGUGCUGUUGAAUGAGCUUGAAGUCAGCAACUGCUCAGCUGUGGAGCAAGGUAAACCACAGCAUAGAAACUGAGGACAUGCAGACUGAUUCAAAAAUUCCCUCAGGACAGCUCUUCAGGGAGCCAGUAUCAAAGAAUGAAUCUUCUUUUACCUAAAAGGGAGAGCAGACCAAACAGAUCACACACGAAACUUACUCUGUUCUCAGCCAGAGCCAGAGCAAAGCGGGGUGGGAUGUGUGCAGACUCCAGUGCUGUGGCCACUCACAUCCAGCCCUGCACAUGGAAUUGCUCAAUCUGUUUAUUACCAGGCGUGUGGGCAAGGAAAUGAACUUGGCUUAAAAAUGCCAGAUGACAUCUCACAGACAGUUGCACCCCUGUGCUGACUGCUAAAAUGGUUCUGAAAUCACGCCGUGAGAGCCACGGUCAGAGCAUCUGUCGCUGAGGGCCGGGCAGGAGGCUGGUGGCUGCCGAGCAGCAGAGCUCAGAGCUGCUCCUUCCCUGCUGGCCCCAGAGCGGGCACCGCUAGCCGGGAUGGAGGUGCCCGCUCCCACCGGCAGAGCAGCGUGCCGCAAACCUGGCCUCGGAGCUCCACCUAGGGGUGUCACCGCUGGGGCUGGGGGCUCCCUGCCCCGGCAACCUGGGGCAGAAUUUACUGUAAUUCACACCCAGCGGCACUGCCCGCCUUUGCCUGAUACUCAUCAGAGUAAAAUGCUUUUCCUUUUUCUGAAACUGGAAAAAAAAAAUCAUGUCAAGUUUAUAAAACCAUAAAAACUACCAACACCCAGGCAUUACCACCGAAUUUCCUUAGAGAGCAUCAGCAAGUGCUUGCUGAAACAAUGUUCCUUCUGCGCAGCUGGGCAGCCUCAUGCCCAGAGGAAGAGGUUCUCUCGUUGGAUGUCCUCCUUUCCUUUGUCUCGUGGUGCAUGGUACCGCUUCACUAUGCCUCCAUCAACACUCACAAAAACACACCCACCCUGCUGGGAUCGACCAAGCACUAGAACGACAUCUUCACCUGCUAGGGGAAGUCUGAGUCUCUUUUUCUUGCCCAACAUGCAAAGUUCUGGCAUCCAGGACCCCUGAGUUUUUUGUUGGUACAUUUACAAGAAUGAUCUCGCCAAACAUGGGUUAUUUCCCACAGUGAGGUUGCUGUGGGGUAGGAAGAGAGAGCAGUAUGCUUGUUCUAGUAUGUUAGCAGUGGUGCUUUCAUCAGAAUUUGCUUUAAAUUUCAGUAGAAUUUACUUGUAUGCUGAAAGGAGCUACAGGUACUGCUGGAGACACAUGCUAAUAAAACCCCUAAGUGUUAACAAUGUCCAGUGGAGACUCAAGAUUCACUUAGAUAACUGUGCUGGAAGAUAAUUUUCAAAUGUUUUGAGGCAGUACCUUCUAAAACUAUUUAGAUGAAGCUGGAUAAGGAGAUAACAAAUAUCAACAUAAUAAAUAUUUUGGGAUUCUAAUCCUUG